This is a long non-coding RNA of Amblyraja radiata (thorny skate), 109 nucleotides long. RefSeq lists it as uncharacterized. The transcript is spliced from 3 exons. The record is from RefSeq and is a predicted model, not a curated record. NCBI's taxonomy places the organism in Eukaryota, Metazoa, Chordata, Chondrichthyes, Rajiformes, Rajidae.
AGAUGGAGCUUCAGGGAGAGGUUGGGUAGGUUAGGACUUUAUAACUUGGAGCAAAGGAUGCUGAGGGGUAAUCUUGCAGGAGAAUAGAUAGGGUUGUACGCACAGAGUU